This 497-nucleotide ribosomal RNA is filed under the name uncultured bacterium. Its description in RNAcentral is "partial 16S ribosomal RNA". It matches the Rfam family "Bacterial small subunit ribosomal RNA", at positions 28 to 507 of the family's 1533-position model. The record is from RNAcentral.
GAUGAACGCUGGCGGCGUGCCUAAUACAUGCAAGUCGAGCGAACGGACGAGAAGCUUGCUUCUCUGAUGUUAGCGGCGGACGGGUGAGUAACACGUGGAUAACCUACCUAUAAGACUGGGAUAACUUCGGGAAACCGGAGCUAAUACCGGAUAAUAUUUUGAACCGCAUGGUUCAAAAGUGAAAGACGGUCUUGCUGUCACUUAUAGAUGGAUCCGCGCUGCAUUAGCUAGUUGGUAAGGUAACGGCUUACCAAGGCAACGAUGCAUAGCCGACCUGAGAGGGUGAUCGGCCACACUGGAACUGAGACACGGUCCAGACUCCUACGGGAGGCCGCAGUAGGGAAUCUUCCGCAAUGGGCGAAAGCCUGACGGAGCAACGCCGCGUGAGUGAUGAAGGUCUUCGGAUCGUAAAACUCUGUUAUUAGGGAAGAACAUAUGUGUAAGUAACUGUGCACAUCUUGACGGUACCUAAUCAGAAAGCCACGGCUAACUACGUG